This 1440-nucleotide ribosomal RNA is filed under the name Staphylococcus aureus. RNAcentral's name for it is "partial 23S ribosomal RNA". It matches the Rfam family "Bacterial large subunit ribosomal RNA", at positions 1485 to 2925 of the family's 2925-position model. Lineage: Bacteria; Bacillati; Bacillota; Bacilli; Caryophanales; Staphylococcaceae. The record is from RNAcentral.
GGCGAAGCGUGCGAUUGGAUUGCACGUCUAAGCAGUAAGGCUGAGUAUUAGGCAAAUCCGGUACUCGUUAAGGCUGAGCUGUGAUGGGGAGAAGACAUUGUGUCUUCGAGUCGUUGAUUUCACACUGCCGAGAAAAGCCUCUAGAUAGAAAAUAGGUGCCCGUACCGCAAACCGACACAGGUAGUCAAGAUGAGAAUUCUAAGGUGAGCGAGCGAACUCUCGUUAAGGAACUCGGCAAAAUGACCCCGUAACUUCGGGAGAAGGGGUGCUCUUUAGGGUUAACGCCCAGAAGAGCCGCAGUGAAUAGGCCCAAGCGACUGUUUAUCAAAAACACAGGUCUCUGCUAAACCGUAAGGUGAUGUAUAGGGGCUGACGCCUGCCCGGUGCUGGAAGGUUAAGAGGAGUGGUUAGCUUCUGCGAAGCUACGAAUCGAAGCCCCAGUAAACGGCGGCCGUAACUAUAACGGUCCUAAGGUAGCGAAAUUCCUUGUCGGGUAAGUUCCGACCCGCACGAAAGGCGUAACGAUUUGGGCACUGUCUCAACGAGAGACUCGGUGAAAUCAUAGUACCUGUGAAGAUGCAGGUUACCCGCGACAGGACGGAAAGACCCCGUGGAGCUUUACUGUAGCCUGAUAUUGAAAUUCGGCACAGCUUGUACAGGAUAGGUAGGAGCCUUUGAAACGUGAGCGCUAGCUUACGUGGAGGCGCUGGUGGGAUACUACCCUAGCUGUGUUGGCUUUCUAACCCGCACCACUUAUCGUGGUGGGAGACAGUGUCAGGCGGGCAGUUUGACUGGGGCGGUCGCCUCCUAAAAGGUAACGGAGGCGCUCAAAGGUUCCCUCAGAAUGGUUGGAAAUCAUUCAUAGAGUGUAAAGGCAUAAGGGAGCUUGACUGCGAGACCUACAAGUCGAGCAGGGUCGAAAGACGGACUUAGUGAUCCGGUGGUUCCGCAUGGAAGGGCCAUCGCUCAACGGAUAAAAGCUACCCCGGGGAUAACAGGCUUAUCUCCCCCAAGAGUUCACAUCGACGGGGAGGUUUGGCACCUCGAUGUCGGCUCAUCGCAUCCUGGGGCUGUAGUCGGUCCCAAGGGUUGGGCUGUUCGCCCAUUAAAGCGGUACGCGAGCUGGGUUCAGAACGUCGUGAGACAGUUCGGUCCCUAUCCGUCGUGGGCGUAGGAAAUUUGAGAGGAGCUGUCCUUAGUACGAGAGGACCGGGAUGGACAUACCUCUGGUGUACCAGUUGUCGUGCCAACGGCAUAGCUGGGUAGCUAUGUGUGGACGGGAUAAGUGCUGAAAGCAUCUAAGCAUGAAGCCCCCCUCAAGAUGAGAUUUCCCAACUUCGGUUAUAAGAUCCCUCAAAGAUGAUGAGGUUAAUAGGUUCGAGGUGGAAGCAUGGUGACAUGUGGAGCUGACGAAUACUAAUCGAUCGAAGACUUAAUCAA